CCUACGGGAGGCAGCAGUGAGGAAUAUUGGUCAAUGGUCGGGAGACUGAACCAGCCAAGCCGCGUGAGGGAUGAAGGUACAGAGUAUCGUAAACCUCUUUUGUCAGGGAACAAAGGCGGGGACGUGUCCCCGGAUGAGUGUACCUGAAGAAAAAGCAUCGGCUAACUCCGUGCCAGCAGCCGCGGUAAUACGGAGGAUGCGAGCGUUAUCCGGAUUUAUUGGGUUUAAAGGGUGCGCAGGCGGUCUGUUAAGUCAGCGGUCAAAGCCCGGGGCUCAACCCCGGCCCGCCGUUGAAACUGGCAGUCGCGAGUUGGAGAGAAGUAUGCGGAAUGCGCGGUGUAGCGGUGAAAUGCAUAGAUAUCGCGCAGAACUCCGAUUGCGAAGGCAGCAUGCCGGCUCCACACUGACGCUGAGGCACGAAAGCGUGGGUAUCGAACAGGAGUAGAUACCCUUGUAGUC
This 459-nucleotide ribosomal RNA is filed under the name uncultured bacterium. Its description in RNAcentral is "partial 16S ribosomal RNA". It matches the Rfam family "Bacterial small subunit ribosomal RNA", at positions 338 to 795 of the family's 1533-position model. The record is from RNAcentral.